UCCCGUGUUGCUCAGUUGGUAGAGCGUGGCACUUGCAACAUCAGGGUUGUGGGUUCAAUUCCCACUGGGGGAC
This 73-nucleotide transfer RNA is filed under the name Salmo salar (Atlantic salmon). It matches the Rfam family "tRNA". From Rfam's summary of the family: Transfer RNA (tRNA) molecules are approximately 80 nucleotides in length. Their secondary structure includes four short double-helical elements and three loops (D, anti-codon, and T loops). Further hydrogen bonds mediate the characteristic L-shaped molecular structure. tRNAs have two regions of fundamental functional importance: the anti-codon, which is responsible for specific mRNA codon recognition, and the 3' end, to which the tRNAs corresponding amino acid is attached (by aminoacyl-tRNA synthetases). tRNAs cope with the degeneracy of the genetic code in two manners: having more than one tRNA (with a specific anti-codon) for a particular amino acid; and 'wobble' base-pairing, i.e. permitting non-standard base-pairing at the 3rd anti-codon position. Lineage: Eukaryota; Metazoa; Chordata; Actinopteri; Salmoniformes; Salmonidae. The record is from Rfam by way of RNAcentral.